RNAcentral lists this ribosomal RNA (459 nucleotides) under uncultured bacterium. RNAcentral describes it as "partial 16S ribosomal RNA". It matches the Rfam family "Bacterial small subunit ribosomal RNA", at positions 338 to 795 of the family's 1533-position model. The record is from RNAcentral.
CCUACGAGAGGCUGCAGUGAGGAAUAUUGGUCAAUGGGCGGGAGCCUGAACCAGCCAAGUCGCGUGAAGGAAGAAGGUACUUAGUAUUGUAAACUUCUUUUGUCGGGGAACAAAGGCGGAGACGCUUCUCCGGAUGAGGGUAACCGAAGAAAAAGCAACGGCUAACUCCGUGCCAGCAGCCGCGGUAAUAAGGAGUAUGCGAGCGUUAUUCGGAUUUAUUGGGUUUAAAGGGUGAGCAGGCGGGAGAUCAAGUCAGCGGUAAAAUGUCGGGGCUCAACCCCGGCCGGCCGUUGAGACUGGUUUUCUAGAGUUGGAGAGAAGUAUGCGGAAUUCGUGGGGUAGCGGUGAAAUGCAUCGAUAUCACGAAGAACUCCGAUUGCGAAGGCAGCAUACCGGCUCCAUACUGACGCUGAGGCACGAAAGCGUGGGGAUCGAACAGGAUUAGAUACCCCUGUAGUC